RNAcentral lists this ribosomal RNA (492 nucleotides) under uncultured bacterium. RNAcentral's name for it is "partial 16S ribosomal RNA". It matches the Rfam family "Bacterial small subunit ribosomal RNA", at positions 29 to 507 of the family's 1533-position model. The record is from RNAcentral.
AGUGAACGCUGGCGGUAGGCCUAACACAUGCAAGUCGAACGGCAGCACAGUAAGAGCUUGCUCUUACGGGUGGCGAGUGGCGGACGGGUGAGGAAUACAUCGGAAUCUAUUUUUUCGUGGGGGAUAACGUAGGGAAACUUACGCUAAUACCGCAUACGACCUACGGGUGAAAGCAGGGGAUCUUCGGACCUUGCGCGAUUGAAUGAGCCGAUGUCGGAUUAGCUAGUUGGCGGGGUAAAGGCCCACCAAGGCGACGAUCCGUAGCUGGUCUGAGAGGAUGAUCAGCCACACUGGAACUGAGACACGGUCCAGACUCCUACGGGAGGCAGCAGUGGGGAAUAUUGGACAAUGGGCGCAAGCAUGAUCCAGCCAUACCGCGUGGGUGAAGAAGGCCUUCGGGUUGUAAAGCCCUUUUGUUGGGAAAGAAAAGCAGCAGGUUAAUACCCCGCUGUUCUGACGGUACCCAAAGAAUAAGCACCGGCUAACUUCGUG